Molecule: transfer RNA, 72 nt
Filed under: Triticum aestivum (bread wheat)
Lineage: Eukaryota; Viridiplantae; Streptophyta; Magnoliopsida; Poales; Poaceae
Also listed under: 1 other name
Description: tRNA tRNA-Gln
Rfam family: tRNA
About the family: Transfer RNA (tRNA) molecules are approximately 80 nucleotides in length.
Source: Rfam by way of RNAcentral
GGUUUCGUAGUGUAGUGGUUAGCACUCCAGACUUUGAAUCUGGCGACCUGGGUUCGAAUUCCGGCGAGACCU